UACGUAGGUGGCAAGCGUUGUCCGGAUUUACUGGGUGUAAAGGGCGUGUAGACGGGUUUGCAAGUCAGAUGUGAAAUACCGCAGCUUAACUGCGGGGCUGCAUUUGAAACUGCAAAUCUUGAGUGCGGGAGAGGAAAGCGGAAUUCCUAGUGUAGCGGUGAAAUGCGUAGAUAUUAGGAGGAACACCAGUGGCGAAGGCGGCUUUCUGGACCGUAACUGACGUUGAGGCGCGAAAGCGUGGGUAGCAAACAGG
This 253-nucleotide ribosomal RNA is filed under the name uncultured bacterium. RNAcentral describes it as "partial 16S ribosomal RNA". It matches the Rfam family "Bacterial small subunit ribosomal RNA", at positions 524 to 776 of the family's 1533-position model. The record is from RNAcentral.